Mirounga angustirostris (Northern elephant seal) is the source of this 3405-nucleotide long non-coding RNA. RefSeq lists it as uncharacterized. The transcript has 3 exons. The record is from RefSeq and is a predicted model, not a curated record. NCBI's taxonomy places the organism in Eukaryota, Metazoa, Chordata, Mammalia, Carnivora, Phocidae.
GCGCGGGGAGAGGACGCGGCCCGCCUGGCAUCAUCCUGCCGGGGGUUCGGUGGUAGCGCGCCACGCGCUGGGACCCACGGGGGUACAAUGUGCUUUACAGUCGCCCACCACGAGCAAGAGCCUUCUCUUAAGAAAGCAAGCCUGGGCGCGGGACUGCCAUCUCCACGCCCCCCCCCCCCACUGACUUGGUCGGGUCUGACAGAGACGGAGCGGGGUCGCAAACCGGGGUGCGCCAGGGCCGCCUCUGCCCCCGCUGGUGUGGGGUGGAACUACACCGGAGGGCCGCGGACGCCCGCCGGAGCCGCCCGGUGCCAGAGCCCGGGCAAGCGUGCGCGCAGCGAGCGCGAAGCCCGCCAAUACAUCGCGUCAACCGCACGUUUACUACGAUUACUUACAAGCCCGUGUGCGAAUUGUUAAAUCGCUGAGUUACUUUCAGAGAGAUUAAAAUACGCUAGUUGGUCUAUUUUUUUCCGUAUACCACGAGGAAAACUCAACCGGGGUAUCGCGGUGGAGCUUUGACACAACGUGACAAAUGAAACGGAGAUGCGGUGCGCUGUACACGGUUAGCUGCGAUGCAAGGAAGAACGUGGACUACAGGACAACCACGUAGCACGGCUCUUAGCAUUUCGGACGAAUGUGAUCCAGUGAACCACCCUGUGCAGAUGAGCUGGUCAGUUACGUGCGCAGCUGACCCCAUUCUCUGCUUGAGGCAGUAGCACCGAUUUGCACUUUUGGGGUAGCAGUAUACCACACUAAGGCUUGUUCCCAUUGCACCUCUCCGGUAUAAAAACGGAAACUGAGGCUUAGGAAGUUGGAGCAAACUCCUUCAAUCACACAACUGACAAGCUGAAGGAUUUGGGGAAAGAGCACAGGCUCUUUCCAUACACAGGAUCAUGCUGUUGUCCAAGCGAGAAGUACAUUGCUGGGUUUCUAUCGUUUUUAACUGACCAAAGAUUGUCUGCAAGUCAUACAAACACGGAGGCCGAGGGAACUUCAAGAGAGCAAGAGAAGAGUGAGGGUCGGCUUGGAGACUUUGUUAUCACAUGGUAUAUCUCCAUGAAUGUCCUUAGAAGCCUAUGGGGUGUCCAAAAGUGGCAUCUAGGGGGCUCCUGGUCCUGGUAGAAUCUUGGGAUCAGUAGCAGGACAGACGGCCCUCAUUUGCCACAGGAGGCUUAGAGCCCAGGAGGGACUGGCUACCCUGGGUUUCUGGGAAGGGAGUCUGCGGGACUCACUGCCCAGGAGCCACAUCAGAGGAAAGAUGGCUCCUGGACGUCCAAUCCAUAUGGAUGGGGCUCUGGAUGGAAGCUGGAGAGGCCUCUCAUGACAUGACUUGGCUUAAAGUUGUACUUACAUAGCAAGUGCACUAUUUUUAUUUAGAUUCUGCUUUUAUUUGGAGUGGCUUUGAAAGGGGCUAGGUGGACAUUAGUGUGCACAGGGGUAGGAGGUGUCCCUGAAAUCUCCCAAGCUACCUCCUUGUGUCCCUGUUGUAUAAGAAAAACCUUCAACUGAAGAGAAGCACCACCACUGCCACGUUGAAAAGGGUUCUGGGAUGCUGUCUGUUCCCAAGCUAAAUUGGGUUCGUACGGAAAGGGGAGCACAAAGUCCCACACAGGUGCUGGGGUCCCUCCACGCCCAUCCAGGGGCAAAGGAAGCCGGGCACACUGGGCCCCCUCAAAUGGCUCCCUGGGCUGUGGUCCCUCUAGGGCCGAUCUGCUUCAGGGUGGCCUCCAGAGCUGGACCUGAGCUGAACCUCCAUCCAUCCAGGCAGACCUGGGGACAUACUUCUGUGAAAGUGGUCUUGGGCUACCUUCUGGUCAGAGCUGGUGGUCACUGAAGCCUGAGCAGUGAGUCUUAGACAUCUCAGGGAGACGAGUGGUCCCAGCUACAAGGACCUCGCAGACUCUGCUGGAGCAACCGUGGCCGACCCCAGGAGAAGGAAGUGACAUUGGGUCUGAAGUUACUGAAGGGACCAAGAGCAAAAGGACUGUGGGUCACUGGGAACUGAGGGGCCACAGUGCCUGAAGAGAGUCCCAGUCAUCCGCUUUCCCCGGGGGGUGGGGGGGGGGUGAAGUAAAGCAAAAGGUGGUGCUGAAGGACAGGGAGGUGCUGCUAACAGGUGCUGGAAGCACACUGAGGAGCACGACCAGCCUCCAGCGCGGACACCCAAGGAGACUGUGCUUUCAUCACCACCACCCUGCGGCCAAGGUUCUGCCAGGGGCUUCUGCCGGGGACUUGCGACAAGGGCCACUGUCACUCAGGAAUCCCUUCUUCCCAGGUCACUCUAGCGUACAUCCAGGCCCUGGGGCCACAGCGACACUAUUUUAUAAAUAAGGUGAAAGAGUUACUGCCUGAAGACAGAGCUCGUGGAUGGAGGGGAAAUACUAUUUCUUACCACCACCCCACUGGAACUAAGUGGAGCUAAUUCAAAUCCGAAAAUGAACUCUCGCCGAAUACUGUCAUGUGUCAGUACUGAAGGUAAAGUCUUCAGUUCUACCUUAAUCAAAUCCAUGAACAUAAUCCAGUCUUACCAAGACACUUAAAGGGACACUUCUGUGGUUAGAUGGAAAGAAUUUUUCGAAGCCUUUCAACCAUGUACCUUGCCGACCCGCGGAAGAAAACCUUCUGAAUCUUACGGCACCAGAGCACACUCUAGUGGUGGUGAGCUAAGCAGCCACUUCCAAACCGCUCAAUUCAUCCUUGCACAGGGAGCCCUAGAUAAAUAUUCCUUGUUUGGGCAAAAGGUUAGGUAGGCUUGCGUGAAGGCAGCAAAGGAAAUGAAUAGAACAUUAUACGAGGACUCCAAGCCGUAUAAUUCUCCACUAAGAAUAAGGCAAGUUCUGUGUCAUUGAAUGUUCAAUGCCAAGGGCAAACAAACAAGAAUUAUUAAAAAUCUUAAAACAAUCUAAAAUAACAUCCUACUCAGUGAGGUUUUAGGAAAGCUUUUGAUUUAUCGUUUGUUCUUAAAUCCAUGCCACAUGCAGACUUUCUCCUUGGAGAUUCUAUUUAAAGAAGGGAGAGGAAGCAGAUAAUAGAUAUAAUACCUAAAACAAACUCCCUUCAGCCAUGACAGUGUUAUUACAAACUUGAGGGAGUGCCAUUAUUGCAUAUAAAUAGAAACAAUGGACCAGAACCAAUUUUGCAUAAGAAAAUAUCGUUCAAUUUUGUUGCGAGCCUUGGUCUAGACUUUCCUCUGGUUUAACAAGUGAUGGUUAAUAUAAAUAAGAAUGUCUGUCUUUGCUUAAAGAUAGCACUCUUGUGAAAGCACACGUAUCUAUUUAAUCAAGUAAAAAUGUUGCCAUCUUUUGUGUAUGUGUCUACAAACCGAAGGAAAUAUAUUCGUUUGGUUUGAAGUGUAAAUUAUACUCUUAAAAUCUAACUAACACAAACUGGAAGGGAAAAAAAAAU